AUGAAUAAUCUGAAGAAGGCUAUGCCGAAUCCGAGGGAAGAAGAAGAAGCAGAACUCGCCAAGAUCUCUCAUGCUCGUAAGGCGGCCUGGCGUAAACCUGUUGAAGGCAAACGCCACACUGCUUUAAAUAAAGCCAUCAGUGACCUUUCAGAAAGAUUCCGGGUUCAUUCCACUGAAACUAGCUGGCAAUAUCUUAUAAGUUUUAUUCCCUCUCAGCUUCAAAAGGGCUUCCCCGAGGAGAGUACGGGGCAUCUCUAUGGUUCCAAUAUGUUCACUGAGCUAUAUCGGGGACUUAGCGUUCGACUGUUGCCAACU
Molecule: non-coding RNA, 315 nt
Organism: Vicia faba (fava bean)
Lineage: Eukaryota; Viridiplantae; Streptophyta; Magnoliopsida; Fabales; Fabaceae
Source: the annotation of a GenBank genome assembly